Molecule: long non-coding RNA, 629 nt
Filed under: Mytilus galloprovincialis (Mediterranean mussel)
Lineage: Eukaryota; Metazoa; Mollusca; Bivalvia; Mytilida; Mytilidae
Source: RNAcentral
UUUUUGUUCGUCUUAGUAUUCUUUCCCUUCUUUACUGUUUAUUUUGGUAAAAAAAAAUUUGUGUGCCUUGGUAUUUAUACAUCCUGCCAUUGUAUUGUUGUUUAUUUUGGGGUAAGGAUUGCAUGAAAUGCAAUCAAAACCUUAUGGUACUUAAUUUCUGUCUAAAUCAUCCAAGGUUUAUCACUACUUUUGAGACACACAAAGUAUAGGGCAUUGAUCAUAACAUUAACCUAGUAUACAUCCUAUCCAUGAACAUUUCCAGAAAGUAGUAGGUCCGGUAAGGGCGGAUUUUGACCUUAAAUUUCAGAUUCAUCUGAUGAAAGAUUUUGGACUCUUUUUAAACAAUUAGGUAUCUACUUCACUCGAUUCAAUUAGUUAAUGUGAAAGAUGUAAACUGAUUUAACAAUGGCUUAGCUUACUGUCUAGAUCUGAGCAGAUUGUUAAACGGCCUUAAACAAUGAGCAAAAUUCAUACUGUAUAGUCUUCUUUAAAGACAAGACCAAACAACGGCCAAUUUGAAGAUUUUAAGACAAAUUUGUGAACGUAUUUUAACCAAUUUUAUAUGCUUUUUACACAAAUAUUCGCCUAUUUGAAAAUAAAAAAGAGAAAUGUUUCAGAAAAACAACGAG